GACGAACGCUGGCGGCGUGCUUAACACAUGCAAGUCGAGCGGUAAGGCCCUUUCGGGGGUACACGAGCGGCGAACGGGUGAGUAACACGUGGGUGACCUGCCCUCAGCUCUGGGAUAAGCCUGGGAAACCGGGUCUAAUACUGGAUAUGACUCCAUGACGCAUGUUGUGGGGUGGAAAGCCUUGUGCGGCUGAGGAUGGGCCCGCGGCCUAUCAGCUUGUUGGUGGGGUGAGGCCUACCAAGGCGACGACGGGUAGCCGGCCUGAGAGGGCGACCGGCCACACUGGGACUGAGACACGGCCCAGACUCCUACGGGAGGGCGGCAGUGGGGAAUCUUGCGCAAUGGGCGAAAGCCUGACGCAGCGACGCCGCGUGAGGGAUGACGGCCU
RNAcentral lists this ribosomal RNA (388 nucleotides) under uncultured bacterium. RNAcentral's name for it is "bacterial SSU rRNA". It matches the Rfam family "Bacterial small subunit ribosomal RNA", at positions 28 to 417 of the family's 1533-position model. The record is from RNAcentral.